RNAcentral lists this unclassified non-coding RNA (400 nucleotides) under uncultured fungus. RNAcentral's name for it is "sequence contains ITS1". The stretch from base 1 to 105 matches the Rfam family "5.8S ribosomal RNA", at positions 50 to 154 of the family's 154-position model. The record is from RNAcentral. Lineage: Eukaryota; Fungi.
AAAAUGCGAAAUGUCGUGUGACAUGCAUUCCUCGUGAAUCAUCAAAUCUUUGAACGCACCUUGCACCUUUUGACUUUGUCAUCAGGUAUACUUGUUUGAGUAUCGUAUCACAUUCUCCCUUUCACUUUUGUGCAAACAAUUGUUAAAGGGGACUUGAAAGUCUGGCUGGGUUGUUAACCUGAAAAGUUAGUCUUUUUAAAUGAAUACCUGGUCAAGGUUCUCUUGUCUCGGUUUUAUUGGCAACUAAUCAUUGUCAAUAAGACGGUCUAAUGGGAUAACAUCCAUCGUUAGACUAUAAGGGAUGCCUUGGCAUUAACGGGCAAACGACCGAGUGACUAUUUGGGCAACCAAAUGGGCACCCACACAUACGUUUACCGAUCUCAAAUCAAGUAGGACUACC